This 301-nucleotide ribosomal RNA is filed under the name uncultured bacterium. Its description in RNAcentral is "partial 16S ribosomal RNA". It matches the Rfam family "Bacterial small subunit ribosomal RNA", at positions 509 to 809 of the family's 1533-position model. The record is from RNAcentral.
CAGCCGCCGCGGGAAUACGAAGGGUGCAAGCGUUAAUCGGAAUUACUGGGCGUAAAGCGUGCGUAGGCGGUGAGUUAAGUCUGCUGUGAAAUCCCCGGGCUCAACCUGGGAAUGGCAGUGGAUACUGGCUCGCUAGAGUGUGUCAGAGGAUGGUGGAAUUCCCGGUGUAGCGGUGAAAUGCGUAGAUAUGCGGAGGAACACCGAUGGCGAAGGCAAUCCCCUGGGCCUGCACUGACGCUCAUGCACGAAAGCGUGGGGAGCAAACAGGAUUAGAUACCCCCGUAGUCCCUGUCUCUUAUAA